Molecule: non-coding RNA, 24 nt
Filed under: Arabidopsis thaliana (thale cress)
Lineage: Eukaryota; Viridiplantae; Streptophyta; Magnoliopsida; Brassicales; Brassicaceae
Source: RNAcentral
GUGAAGUCCACUGCCACAUUUGUU